RNAcentral lists this long non-coding RNA (445 nucleotides) under Pogona vitticeps (central bearded dragon). RNAcentral describes it as "lncRNA (ENSPVIG00000003566.1)". The record is from RNAcentral. Lineage: Eukaryota; Metazoa; Chordata; Lepidosauria; Squamata; Agamidae.
CAGGACACAGAAUAGUCUUUCACACAACUCUGCUAUGGCAACAGCCGAAGAAGCAGAAGAAGGAGGAAGAAGAGGAGGAGUUCUUUCCAAAUGCGGUCUGUGCAGAGUUGUCCUCCAGCGUCUGUGCUGCCCUCAGAAUCAACAUAGUGAAAUUUGACCUUCUACAUGACAGUCUUUCAGAGAUUUAAUGACCCUUAACUCUCAUGAAGCAGGUUUAUGAGGAAAAGGCUUGGACUGGGUAGAUAUGUGAUCUUUUCUGACCUCAUAAUUCUUGUGUUUCUUGUUUGUAAUUUAUUGAGGACUAGCAGCAGAGUUGUGUCCUUGCAGCUCAGGUGAGAGUUAGCAGACGUCUUGUAGCACCUUCAAGACUAACUGGGUCCCCCCUCCACUGCUCCACACAAAAGCUUAUGAAAAAUAAAAACUAGAUGGUAUUUUAAGUGCUACA